UAAUUAGAUAUUCGCCGCGAGACCUGCGGCCCUUUUAAAUUCAUUUUUUUUAAAAAAUAUUCUUAUUAAUUUUAUUCAUUUUAAUGAGUUUUGUGAAUUUUAAAUAAUUAAUAAUUGCCUGUUUAAUUGAAGCGACUUUUUAACCCUAAUCAAUGUUUCGCGCCUUGGAUCGAAUCCUCGAAGAAAGGUCGUAAGAUCGAAGUGGGCGAUGAGAGGGCGAUUUUCAACGCGGGGAGCCCAAUCCGACGCUCAGAUCGCUCCACUUGAUCGAGUUCCCCAGUGAUUUCCCGCUGGUACUCAAGACUAGGUGGCAGUUGUUUGCUUUGCUUUGGAGGCAAACUUUUGAAAAUUGAUUAAGGCAACGGGCGUGGUACGAAUAUGUGAAGGCGCACGGAGUACGACCACACAAAACUCUGUCAAGUACCUUUCUACAUUGCUUCAACUGCUCACCAUUAAGCAAUUGCAGGAGGAUAAUUAUGCGGGGCAAGCAAAAGCAGAUGAGUAAAAAAAAAUAUGCAAGCUUUUUUCUCUCCAACUCUCUCUCUCCCUCCUCAGAUAUCCACACUGUUACACUGCACCGGAGGAUUACCCUAGAUUUCCAUGAGCAGACAGGGUUGUCCCCAUUUGUAUUGCAUCGGAAUGUGAAUAGGGAGAAGGCAUAACACUAUUGUCAUUUAAGAGGGUGUCUGUGUAUGUAUGUGUCACCCUCCUUGACAAGGUCAAGGCAACAGUGCGGCCUUCUACCACUACUGUUUCUCUUAUUCUUCUCAAUGUUUAAUAGUUAAUGAUGGUGCGUGGACAUGGCACAGAGAUAUAUAGAGGAUGAUGUGCGACAUAAGGUAGCACUGUUUGGAGGGGCCUUGGAUGCUGUAAGCAGACAGGGGGAGACAAGGGGUUCUGCUGUCCACAUGUGCCCUUUCCUUCCUAGAGCAGGUUAGCUAUGGCCUGAGGUGGAAGAUGAAUUGAUUGAGAUAUUAUCAUUACCUCCGCAUCAACCUCCUGCAGAUUUCACAAUUGGUUUUAGCGUGCAGUAGUGCUGCAAGGAACAAAGAGACAAAAAGAAAGCAUGAAGGGUGUGUCAGAUCAAUUUUAAUUAUAGACCUAGUAGCUUUUGCUGCUGCUUCUCCUCCGGCUGCUGCACCUGCACUGACUGCACCCCACAACACACUGAGCCAUGGAUGAAUGGAUUCAUUGUGGUCUGAUAUGACUUGUCGAAAAGCCUUCUUUUGACUACUGCUCCGUCUCCCCAACAAUCUCAGACACAUUUAAGAGCCCGUCUCAUAAUUGUUAUUUGGUCGCCAUAAAAUAUAUGCUUGAGUUGAUACAGAUUCUUUCUCUCUACUAGUCCUUAAAGCAAGCUAAUCAUUUGAGUUGAAUAUUUCCUUGUAUAUGUUCCAUCCAUUAACUGCCACUAAAAAAUGGAAAAGUAAGCAAAGCACAAAAGCAUCCGGAAAGAAAAGCUGGGAUUGGUGCAGGGAAAAGGCAUAUGCAUGCAGUUAACUGAGGAUUAUUAUGAUUCUACUUAUCAGACUGAGGAUUUCGCUAUAGUGCAGGCUUCAUCUUGUGUGUGUUAUCAAACUGCAUGCUGCAGCAGCUGCAUGACUCAUCACUUCAACUGGAGGAAUGGGAAUAAAGGGAAGGAGGAAGGAAGGAAUGAUGCAUUCUGCAGCAGCUUCUAAAGCACACCAAGAACAGCAAAAAAGGUUGGGGAUUCUUUGUCUGGGUGAGUCUGAGAAAAAGCUGGAAAUUUAAAAGCAAAAGAAGUGCAUUUGAUUAAUUAGUAGAGAUAUUUUUUUAAAAAAAGUUGUUUUUUUAAUAGUUUUUCCAAGACCUUUCCUAUUCUUAUACACUUUAUAUUAUACAUUGAUUUUUAUUGAAGGUGAGUUUGUCACAUAA
This is a long non-coding RNA of Zingiber officinale, 1896 nucleotides long. RefSeq lists it as uncharacterized. Lineage: Eukaryota; Viridiplantae; Streptophyta; Magnoliopsida; Zingiberales; Zingiberaceae. The record is from RefSeq and is a predicted model, not a curated record. The transcript has 6 exons.